RNAcentral lists this ribosomal RNA (427 nucleotides) under uncultured bacterium. RNAcentral describes it as "partial 16S ribosomal RNA". It matches the Rfam family "Bacterial small subunit ribosomal RNA", at positions 355 to 774 of the family's 1533-position model. The record is from RNAcentral.
UGGGGAAUAUUGCACAAUGGGCGCAAGCCUGAUGCAGCCAUGCCGCGUGUAUGAAGAAGGCCUUCGGGUUGUAAAGUACUUUCAGCGAGGAGGAAGGCGGUAAGGUUUAUAACCUUAUCGAUUGACGUUACUCGCAGAAGAAGCACCGGCUAACUCCGUGCCAGCAGCCGCGGUAAUACGGAGGGUGCAAGCGUUAAUCGGAAUUACUGGGCGUAAAGCGCACGCAGGCGGUCUGUCAAGUCGGAUGUGAAAUCCCCGGGCUCAACCUGGGAACUGCAUUCGAAACUGGCAGGCUAGAGUCUUGUAGAGGGGGGUAGAAUUCCAGGUGUAGCGGUGAAAUGCGUAGAGAUCUGGAGGAAUACCGGUGGCGAAGGCGGCCCCCUGGACAAAGACUGACGCUCAGGUGCGAAAGCGUGGGGAGCAAACA